Myodes glareolus (Bank vole) is the source of this 3149-nucleotide long non-coding RNA. RefSeq lists it as uncharacterized. NCBI's taxonomy places the organism in Eukaryota, Metazoa, Chordata, Mammalia, Rodentia, Cricetidae. The record is from RefSeq and is a predicted model, not a curated record.
CCCCCACCCUGCAUGCAAGAUCUCUCCCACCCUCCUGUCUAAAAUGAUUCUUCCUUGCACAUUCUCACAUCUCCCAUUUUUUUCCAUUUAGCGCUUAUCAAAAUGAAUUUUUUUCCCUCCUUGAUUUUUCCCUCCUUUGUCUGCCUCUCCUGCCUGCAGCUAUUGUUGAAGCAGGCAGGACCUCUUUGACUAGCCUCCUCCUGCAUCUCCAGCUUGGGGUAGAGCCUGUGGCACGUUGUAAAAGGCUUGGUAAAACAGGACAAAUGACUGAAUGACAACAGAGAGGUGGGCCCAUCUCUCUAUUUCCUUCUGGUUAUGAAAUCUGAUUCAAAAUAUAAAAUUUAGGAUCAAAGCUAUUAUGGGAGAAUAUUAAAUCCAUAUAAAUAACCGAAAUGUGCCCUGAGGAAAAAAAAGAAACAAGAAAAGAUUAUAGAGAACGGAAAAGAUAAUCAUCUCGUCAGGGUUUAAAAACAGAAGAUGAAAACGAGAACCCAGGAGCAUGCAAGCCCUGCUGCAAACACUCCACAUGAUUUCUGGGGGAACAGACGACCAGGGUGAACGAGGAGCAGCUGGGUGUGCCUGCUCUUUCACCUGGAGGCGUGCAACUGCACGGACAGCUCACUAGUUCACAAGAAGUCUCUUUAUUCUGGUGAGUGUAUUACAGGUGAUCGCUAGUGAACGUCCGCGUGUGCUGGGAAAGGCUGUCCGUCGGUCCCUCUGAAAGCUUUCUCAAGAGCCGACUCAGACCAGCUUGAGUUCCGCUUACUCCAACAAACCACACUGGCUACUGAGUGGCAAAUAGCAAGCGGGGUUACCUAACCUCUUGCCCAUCCUUCAGAAGGCAAGCAUUUUAAAGGCCAAGGCUGUUGGCUACAUCCGCUGCUGUCUUCUCAAUAGGGCCGAUGAGUAGAAAAAGCAAUUGACUAAAUAGUUGUUCAAACAAACGAACAGAUACAUCAAGGACUUAGACUCCAAGAACUGUCACCCAUGUUUCUGUACAUCUUUUUUCCUGUUUCAUCCUGCAUCACCUUGUCUUGUCCACACUAGGUUUUGCUCCCCUUUCCAAAUGAAAGGUUGAGGCUUUACAAAAGCACAGCUACAGGGGUCUGGCACCCUCUUCUGGCUUCCCAGGAGCCAGUGCGAGAGCGUGCACACAUGCAUGCACACUCACACACACACACACACACACACACACACUGAAUCUUAAAAAAUGACACAGUUCUAUCAUUAAACAAGGAUUAGGCAGUAAUAUUUGCACUAGUCACUUUUCUCACCGUUAUGGCAAAAUAGUCAAUAACAGCAACUUAAGAAAGGGAGAAUUUACCUAGGUUCAGAGUUCGUAGCUCCAGUCCGUGGCAGAAGUCUGUAGCAUUUUGUCUGCAGUCAGGAAACACAGGUGAAAGCAACUCAUUUUCUCCUUUACAUUUAUUUUGGGAUGCCAACCUAUGGGAUGGUACUGCCCACGUUCUGAGUGGGUCUUCCCUUGCCAGCUCAGUCUCAUAGACAUAACCAGAGCUAGGCAUUCCAAAUGUAGUCAGGUCGAUGUAAAGAUGGACAGUCACCGCAUCUACAAUCAGCUGCCAGUUUUAGUGAGGUUCCAUUGUGUGGUGUGCGCCACGAAGGGAAAAGGAAGUCUUUGGCCAAGAAAUACCUAGAAGCAAAUUCCCAAUGACUCAAGUUCAAAAUGGUGAACGCUGAACCUGGAGGCCUUUUUUUUUUUUUUUUUUGUUCAUGCCAGACCAGUUAUGUAUAAUGCAGAAUACAGUUUGAUCAAAGACAACCAACUAACUUGCUGGACACAUUGACUUUGGUGCCACCUGGAAACAUCUCUUUCCUACCCUUCUGCAAUCUGCCUUUAAACCAUGUAGUCACGUUGCCUUUACCGUCUAUUAAUGGCGUCGUGGUCAGCUUCCCAGCUUCUCAUCCAAGUUCAACCCCAAGAGCAACCACGUUCCAGGGUAGGCGGAGUCCACCACAGUGGUUCUGUAUUAUUUUCAGCUCAAGAACCAUGUUGUGAACGCCUUUAUUAGAAAUGUCCACAUCUGCCAGAAAUGUUUAAUGAGGCAUGGUCUGAUAUUUGCUCUGAAAUAUUUCAAAAAAAGAAGAAACAACAACAACGGAAGAAAGAAAGGAAGAAGACACACAGGGCGCAACCAGAUGUGGGUAAUGGUUGGAGCUGAAUUAUGCAUACUUUGGGAUGAAUUUUACUCCUCUUUCUACUUUUGCACAUAUUUAAGAAUGAAAUGUCUACUCUAAGAUGUUUUGUGACAGCCUCAUCUAAUUUAAACAUGUAGGGGACUCCUUGUCUUUUUAUUAUUUCUUUAUUAUUUUUUAAAUUUAUUUUUCAUUCAAAAAUUUCCACUUCCUCCCCUCCUCCCAUUCCCCUCCUGCUCCCUCACUCCCUCUCUUACCUCCCCCUCCAGUCUUAAAUCCCUUGUUUCUUUAUACCCAUCUCCCCACCUCCCCAGAGCGCACUCCCCUGAUCCUGAACUCUCUGAGGGCAGAGGGGGUAGGACCAUUCUCUUCAGUGUUAGCAUGGGUGACUCUUCCUUCGUUCCUUCUCCUCAUCCUGAUUUCUCCUCUGCUGACGCUCCUCUCUCAUAUUUCUUUUUUUGGGGGGGGGUGUGUGCACAGUUGGGAGACACGCAAAAGAAAAGGAGAAAGUCCUAUCCUAACUGACUUUAACUUGUUCUGUCUGGACUCCACAUGAUUAACUGACUCUAUUUGGAUGCCGCAUAACUAAUUCAUUCCAUUUGGACGUCACAUAUUUCUGCUUUGGGGGUUUUGCAUGAAGGUCCUUCACAAGCCCCUCCAAAGGCUCUUGUGGACCCCUGGUCAUCGCCACCUGCUUCACUGUGACCUGGCUAGUUAGACGUGUGUGUCCUGCCUGCUGCCGUCUGGGUGUGCUGUGAUCAGAUGUUGGGUUCCUACCUUGACUUCCCUCAAGCGAUGGACUUUCUUUUAGAAUUAAGGUGAUGGGAAGUGAUCGGACCACGAGGCAGAGGGCUUCCUGGAAGACACUGGUGGCCUUACAAAAGGGACUCUAGGGAUCUACCUCAUCCCUCUGCCUGCAAGGAUGCAACAUGGCCACACCAUGUGUCUGGAAUGAGGCUCUUGUUUGACAGUGCUUUGACCUGGAUUGUGGGAUU